GUCACCGGCCGCAGAUUAGAGGUAUCUAUGUUUAACCCCGGGUGGUCGGCUGAUAUCUCGACAUGCCUUAUGCAUGAUAGUGCACACCUUGGUUUCAAACGAUUCUCUACAGAUAGAAUGGGGCUACAUGCUUGGGCCCCUGUUGAACACACACCCACACCCUUUGUUUUUGAAACAAACACACACACACACACACACACUCCUGCUGCUCCGUCGUGUCUUUUUUCUUCGUGACAGACCGGGGUGAUGUCGGGAAAGGACAUUUUCCUAUCGUUAAAGGGUGAGAUACAUUUUUUAAACCAGUGAUUUAAUUCCAAAAUAUUUAGUACAUACGUUUUAAAGACGUGUUAGAAUUAAUGACCAAAUUGUACUACUAUUUAAACAAGAAUCAAUAGUAUUUUAUGUAAAAACAUUGGAGGCCUACAGUUGUACCGCACACUCACGCACGCACGCACCCGGAUUUUCUGUAUUUUUUUCUUCGUGACAGACGUGGUUGAUGGCUGGAAAGGACAUUUUCCCUUCGUUAAAGGUUCUCACUGAAGGGGAUAAUUCUCACUGAAACUACAGAAUAAAGCCGCCAGUUAAAAUCAUGGAACGGUUGUGCUCGUGGUUACUGAAGGGAGCUACAAGACCAUUAUUUGUUUCGAAUUCACCAACUCAAAGACGCUUGCCCGCUCCAUCAUAACUCCGUAAGUUUUCCCUCCCUGUGUAGAUCAAACGUCCUGCCUGUAAAUCCUGGGUAUGCCCACAUCAUUAAUGAAUAAGAUGUGUAGAAAACUGUUUAGCCAUAGUUAAAGGCCUUUCAUAAAGAGGCUGUCAUGAUUGCCUGUGCCUCAUGUUUAACACGUAUUGCUUGUUACCGAAUACUACUGUUGUACAUUUAAUAUCUACUAGCCGAUUUCGUCGCAUUUGCACAAAUUCUGUCAUGUUACUGUGGUCUUUUUAAAAGUCAAUAAAUAUGUGUGUAGAGUGUACAUGUUUGUUUCACUGUAGAUCUGUUUAAGACCUCCUAGAAACACCUAAUUUCAUCCCACAGCAUUAAUUAAUAAGCUGUGUAGAAGCUGUUUAGCCAUAAGUAAAGGCCUUUCAUAAAGCAGCUGUCAUGAUUGCAUGUCCCUUAUGUUUAACACGUAUUGCUUGUUACAGAAUACUACUGUUGUACAUUUAAUAUCCCCUAGCAGAUUUCGUUGCCUUUGCACAAAUUCUGUCAUGUUACUGUGGUCUUUUUAAAAGUCAAUAAAAAUGUGUGUAAAGUGUCCAUGUUUGUUUCACUGUAUAUUUGUUUAAGCCCUCCUAGAAACACCUAAUUAAAGGCCUUUCAUAAAGAGGCGGUCAUGAUUGCAUGUGCCUCAUGUUUAACACGUAUUGCUUGUUACAGAAUACUACUGUUGUACAUUUAAUAUCCCCUAGCAGAUUUCGUUGCCUUUGCACAAAUUCUGUCAUGUUACUGUGGUCUUUUUAAAAGUCAAUAAAUAUGUGUGUAAAGUGUA
This is a long non-coding RNA of Oncorhynchus nerka (sockeye salmon), 1490 nucleotides long. RefSeq lists it as uncharacterized. NCBI's taxonomy places the organism in Eukaryota, Metazoa, Chordata, Actinopteri, Salmoniformes, Salmonidae. The transcript has 2 exons. The record is from RefSeq and is a predicted model, not a curated record.